CAUUUAGGAACACUUCACAGUAAGUGUCUAGGAACAUGUGGAGGAGAGCCUGUUUAUUGAAAAGCAAAUUGUAGAGGAAGAUGCAGAAAAGGUUAGCCAAAACUGGAACUGAAACAGCUCAUCAAAGGGAAAAGGCUACACAUGUGGCUUGUCUGCAUCCCCUUGGCUGAAAGGGGAACAAAGGGGAGAUAAAAUGGUGGAGCUCAGACAUGAAGCUGUUUAUCCUGGGAUAUUAAACUGGCUUGUGGAAGACUGCCAGCCAUUUGCAGAGACAAGUACAACAUGCCAAGGCAAGGCACCAGGGAGAAGAAUUAGCAAUGAGAUUGGCCAAAGAUACAUACAAGAAGAGAGGCCUUGGAGGGAGUUCUUCAUCUGAGAAGAGAUCAAGAAACUUCCUGAGAUUGAUUUUCAUAUUUAUUGACUCCGAUGUGGCAAAUUUAGAGAUUGUGAGAGCUCAGAAUCUCUGAAACACGUUAAUGAAACUCUAGAUUUAUUUGAUGCUUUAUGGAAUUGAAGAUGGAUUGCCUAAUUAUUUAUCAGUGCCUAAUUAAUGUAGUGUAAUUAAUUCUUGUUAUCUACAUAUAGGUAGGUCUAUCUCCAAAAUCACUAAGUUAUACGGUGGCACAAUGGGCACAGGCUGAACUGCUGUUCUGAAGGUCAGCAGUUCAAAUCUGCAAGAUGGAGUGAGCACCCAUCUGUCAGCUCCAGCUUUCCGUGGAGAACCAUGAGAGAAGGAUGGUAAAACAUCCAGGUGUCUCCUAGGCAACGUCCUUGCAGACGGCCAAUUUUCUCACACCAGAAGCCAUUUGCAGUUUCUCAGCCUGAUAUAUAAAUCCCUUACACUAAUUACGGUUUCCUAUCUAGGCAUCUUGUCUGCUGUCUACUCACAGUUCCUCUAGCUAAUCAUCCUUGCUUUAUGUAAAUGUGGAUAUCCCAUAUUUAACUGUAGCAUGAAGGGAGGAACCAGAAAUCUGACCUAGGAAUUUGCUGAUGGGCUUUG
Molecule: long non-coding RNA, 1000 nt
Organism: Anolis sagrei ordinatus
Lineage: Eukaryota; Metazoa; Chordata; Lepidosauria; Squamata; Anolidae
Source: RefSeq, a predicted model, not a curated record